CGUUAAGUUAUCUGCAGAAUCUUGGCGGAAUAUCUUGGGGAAGAUAAAAUGCUGGGUCUAAAAUUUAUAUAUCUUUUGAUACUGCAAGUUCCCUUGAGAAAUAUAAUCUAAAGGGAGAAAUUGAUUAUGAGCGUGCUUUACAUGCUGAAGCGGCUGUUCGUGGAAAAGCUAUUAGUAAGCGUUUCCAUGUUAUCUGCUUUGAAGAUAUAAGGCCUUACACUGGGUGGUUGCAUAGGAAUGAUUCUAAGGCAAGCAUUGCAAACGGGGUAACUCCAGAAGGUUUUAUAGGUAAUGCUGUUAACAUGGUUGACCUGGACAUAAAUUACUUGCAGAUUAUGACAGCCUCAGGUUUUGGAUAACGGGAAACAGUGUUAUUUAAUCUUUUCAAGAAGCUUCAGGUUUACGAAACAAGAGAGAGUAUGGUGGCUGCCCGAACCUGUAUAGAGGAUGGUGCUGUUUCGUUAGAUGGUGGCAUUUUAAGUGAAAAUGGAAUUCUCUCCCUUGGUUACCGAAGGUACUCCCUCAGGAAAUUGAAGAAAUCUUGGCACAGAUUGAAGAGAAGAAGUCAGAUCUAAGGAUGAUUGAAGAAAGAAACAAAGGACUGGAACAAGAUCACGCCAAGAAUAUAAAGAAAUUUAACAAAAAGAAGGAAACAUACGAGAAGUUUACGGAUAGAAUGAAGCCUAUGACUGAACUUUUGCUGUAUUUCUGAGGAGACUGGUUUUCUUUGCUGUCCUUUUAUUUAUAUAGAAUGUACAGUACAGGACGUGAGUUAUCAGAAUCGGAGUCUUUCUUCAAGUUUCAUAGUGUUGUUGCUCUCAAAACGUGUUGAACAUUACCUGGAUUGGGUCAUCAUCACAUCCGUUCUUGGUCAACUUGAAUGGUUUAAGAUGUAAACUCAAAUGCUACCGAUAUUGUACAUAUAAGGCUUGAAAAUUUGAACCUUAGUGGCAUAAUCGAUGCAGAUUCCCUAUGCAGGCCCCAAAAGUUAAGAGUGAUGAGCUUGGCUAAGAACAACAUUAGAGGAACUAUUUCACACUCAAUUUUGCGUUGUACGAGGUUGACACAUUCAAAUGUAACUAGAAACCAAUCGAGCAGGAGGUUGCCAAAUAAAAUGGAGACAUCUUAAGGACUUGGACAUCUCUUGUACAAUUUUUCUGGUAUGAUCCCGAGUAAACCACGAUAAGACAAGAAAACUUGGUAUUUGAAGGAUGAAAGCUUGGUGCCAUUAGUUAUGGGAACUGGAUUGCUUUUGCCAUCCCUUUACUUUAUGGUAAAGAAGUCAGCAAAGUUAAAUGCAUUGAAAGAGGUAGUUAAAGAGCAUCAUCAUAUGUCUCCAAUAAAAAAAAAAAAAGGCCAUAACUCGCAAAAUGUAAAAAGAAAUUUGAAAGCAGUAUAGAGGAAGAGUAGAAAAACAGAAGAGAAUGUUAUUUUGGUACAUGGCUUGUUACUCUACUGAAUAAGGCCUUCUAUAGAAUAAAAAGAAGUUGCCGGAAGAAAAAAAUCAGAUUGGGUUUCACUCGUUGGCUUUGUCUAACCAAGUCACGAACCAACAGUAACCGACGAAACAACCACUUCUGUUUCCUGCUUCUUGUACUUUUUCAGCAACCAUAUACUAAACAUACAAAAUGUGCCACCAUGAUCUCACAGCUACCUCCUUUUUUAUUCUUUUUCUUCUGUAAGAAAAGUGUACACAAUAAUUUGAAACCUUCAGUGCAAGGAUCAUGUAAUUUCGUUACA
This is a long non-coding RNA of Glycine soja, 1740 nucleotides long. RefSeq lists it as uncharacterized. The transcript has 3 exons. The record is from RefSeq and is a predicted model, not a curated record. NCBI's taxonomy places the organism in Eukaryota, Viridiplantae, Streptophyta, Magnoliopsida, Fabales, Fabaceae.